This 157-nucleotide small nuclear RNA is filed under the name Rhinopithecus bieti (black snub-nosed monkey). RNAcentral describes it as "U4 spliceosomal RNA (ENSRBIG00000023991.1)". It matches the Rfam family "U4 spliceosomal RNA". From Rfam's summary of the family: U4 small nuclear RNA (U4 snRNA) is a component of the major U2-dependent spliceosome. Lineage: Eukaryota; Metazoa; Chordata; Mammalia; Primates; Cercopithecidae. The record is from Rfam by way of RNAcentral. RNAcentral also lists the same sequence under 1 other name.
AGCUUUGCACAGUGGCAGUAUCGUAGCCAGUGAGCUUUACCCGAGGCGCGAAUAUUGCUAGUUAAAUAUUUAUAAAAACCUUUCGAGCAGCACCUGAACAAGAAUAGGUUUAGAGGAGCUCUGGUCGUCUGAGUUUGUGCUUGUCCCAGGGUGGGGA